Molecule: ribosomal RNA, 528 nt
Filed under: uncultured Alcaligenes sp.
Lineage: Bacteria; Pseudomonadati; Pseudomonadota; Betaproteobacteria; Burkholderiales; Alcaligenaceae
Description: bacterial SSU rRNA
Rfam family: Bacterial small subunit ribosomal RNA
Source: RNAcentral
AGAGUUUGAUCCUGGCUCAGAUUGAACGCUAGCGGGAUGCUUUACACAUGCAAGUCGAACGGCAGCGCGAGAGAGCUCGCUCUCUUGGCGGCGAGUGGCGGACGGGUGAGUAAUAUAUCGGAACGUGCCSAGUAGCGGGGGAUAACUACUCGAAAGAGUGGCUAAUACCGCAUACGCCCUACGGGGGAAAGGGGGGGAUCGCAAGACCUCUCACUAUUGGAGCGGCCGAUAUCGGAUUAGCUAGUUGGUGGGGUAAAGGCUCACCAAAGCAACGAUCCGUAGCUGGUUUGAGAGGACGACCAGCCACACUGGGACUGAGACACGGCCAGACUCCUACGGGAGGCAGCAGUGGGGAAUUUUGGACAAUGGGGGAAACCCUGAUCCAGCCAUCCCGCGUGUAUGAUGAAGGCCUUCGGGUUGUAAAGUACUUUUGGCAGAGAAGAAAAGGUAUCCCCUAAUACGGGAUACUGCUGACGGUAUCCGCAGAAUAAGCACCGGCUAACUACGUGCCAGCAGCCGCGGUAAUAC